UACGAAGGGGGCUAGCGUUGUUCGGAAUUACUGGGCGUAAAGCGCACGUGGGCUGAUAGUUAAGUGAGGGGUGAAAUCCCAAGGCUCAACCUUGGAACUGCCCUUCAUACUGGCUAUCUCGAGUCCGGAAGAGGUUAGUGGAAUUCUCAGUGUAGAGGUGAAAUUCGUGGAUAUUGAGAAGAACACCGGUGGCGAAGGCGGCUAACUGGUCAGGUACUGACGCUGAGGUGCGAAAGCGUGGGGAGCAAACGGG
Molecule: ribosomal RNA, 253 nt
Filed under: uncultured bacterium
Lineage: Bacteria
Description: partial 16S ribosomal RNA
Rfam family: Bacterial small subunit ribosomal RNA
Source: RNAcentral